RNAcentral lists this ribosomal RNA (253 nucleotides) under uncultured bacterium. Its description in RNAcentral is "partial 16S ribosomal RNA". It matches the Rfam family "Bacterial small subunit ribosomal RNA", at positions 524 to 776 of the family's 1533-position model. The record is from RNAcentral.
UACGGAGGGUGCAAACGUUGCUCGGAAUUAUUGGGCGUAAAGCGCACGUAGGCGGACCAUCAAGUCGGAUGUGAAAUCCCUCGGCUUAACCGAGGACGUGCAUUCGAAACUGAUGGCCUUGAGUACGAAAGAGGGUCGCGGAAUUCCCGGUGUAGAGGUGAAAUUCGUAGAUAUCGGGAGGAACACCAGUGGCGAAGGCGGCGACCUGGGUCGAUACUGACGCUGAGGUGCGAAAGCGUGGGGAGCAAACAGG